Molecule: ribosomal RNA, 399 nt
Filed under: uncultured bacterium
Lineage: Bacteria
Description: bacterial SSU rRNA
Rfam family: Bacterial small subunit ribosomal RNA
Source: RNAcentral
AGAGUUUGAUCCUGGCUCAGAUUGAACGCUGGCGGCAGGCUUAACACAUGCAAGUCGAGCGGGGAGAUGUAGCUUGCUACAUUUCCUAGCGGCGGACGGGUGAGUAAUGCUUAGGAAUCUGCCUAUUAGUGGGGGACAACAUUCCGAAAGGAAUGCUAAUACCGCAUACGCCCUACGGGGGAAAGCAGGGGAUCUUCGGACCUUGCGCUAAUAGAUGAGCCUAAGUCAGAUUAGCUAGUUGGUGGGGUAAAGGCCUACCAAGGCGACGAUCUGUAGCGGGUCUGAGAGGAUGAUCCGCCACACUGGGACUGAGACACGGCCCAGACUCCUACGGGAGGCAGCAGUGGGGAAUAUUGCACAAUGGGCGAAAGCCUGAUGCAGCAACGCCGCGUGAAGGAU